Molecule: ribosomal RNA, 460 nt
Filed under: uncultured bacterium
Lineage: Bacteria
Description: partial 16S ribosomal RNA
Rfam family: Bacterial small subunit ribosomal RNA
Source: RNAcentral
CCUACGGGAGGCAGCAGUGAGGAAUAUUGGUCAAUGGUCGGGAGACUAAACCAGCCAAGCCGCGUGAGGGAUGAAGGUACAGAGUAUCGUAAACCUCUUUUGUCAGGGAACAAAGGCGGGGACGUGUCCCCGGAUGAGUGUACCUGAAGAAAAAGCAUCGGCUAACUCCGUGCCAGCAGCCGCGGUAAUACGGAGGAUGCGAGCGUUAUCCGGAUUUAUUGGGUUUAAAGGGUGCGCAGGGGGUCUGUUAAGUCAGCCGUCAAAGGUCGGGGCUCAACCCCGGGCCCGCCGUUGAAACUGGCAGUCUCGAGUUGGAGAGAGGUAUGCGGAAUGCGCGGUGUAGCGGUGAAAUGCAUAGAUAUCGCGCAGAACUCCGAUUGCGAAGGCAGCAUGCCGACUCCACACUGACGCUGAGGCACGAAAGCGUGGGUAUCGAACAGGAUUAGAUACCCUUGUAGUC